UGGGGAAUAUUGCACAAUGGGCGAAAGCCUGAUGCAGCGACGCCGCGUGAGGGAUGACUGCCUUCGGGUUGUAAACCUCUUUCAGCAGGGACGAAGCGAAAGUGACGGUACCUGCAGAAGAAGCACCGGCCAACUACGUGCCAGCAGCCGCGGUAAUACGUAGGGUGCAAGCGUUGUCCGGAAUUAUUGGGCGUAAAGAGCUCGUAGGCGGUCUGUCACGUCGGCUGUGAAAACCUGGGGCUCAACUCCGGGCCUGCAGCCGAUACGGGCAGACUAGAGUUCGGCAGGGGAGACUGGAAUUCCUGGUGUAGCGGUGAAAUGCGCAGAUAUCAGGAGGAACACCGGUGGCGAAGGCGGGUCUCUGGGCCGAUACUGACGCUGAGGAGCGAAAGCGUGGGGAGCAAACAGG
Molecule: ribosomal RNA, 409 nt
Filed under: uncultured prokaryote
Also listed under: 1 other name
Description: bacterial SSU rRNA
Rfam family: Bacterial small subunit ribosomal RNA
Source: RNAcentral